This 451-nucleotide ribosomal RNA is filed under the name uncultured bacterium. Its description in RNAcentral is "bacterial SSU rRNA". It matches the Rfam family "Bacterial small subunit ribosomal RNA", at positions 29 to 524 of the family's 1533-position model. The record is from RNAcentral.
AACGAACGCUGGCGGCAUGCCUAACACAUGCAAGUCGAACGAAGGCUUCGGCCUUAGUGGCGCACGGGUGCGUAACGCGUGGGAAUCUGCCCUUGGGUUCGGAAUAACAGUUAGAAAUGACUGCUAAUACCGGAUGAUGUCGUAAGACCAAAGAUUUAUCGCCCAGGGAUGAGCCCGCGUAAAGAUUAGGUAGUUGGUGGGGUAAAGGCCUACCAAGCCGACGAUCUUUAGCUGGUCUGAGAGGAUGAUCAGCCACACUGGGACUGAGACACGGCCCAGACUCCUACGGGAGGCAGCAGUGGGGAAUAUUGGACAAUGGGCGAAAGCCUGAUCCAGCAAUGCCGCGUGAGUGAUGAAGGCCUUAGGGUUGUAAAGCUCUUUUACCAGGGAUGAUAAUGACAGUACCUGGAGAAUAAGCUCCGGCUAACUCCGUGCCAGCAGCCGCGGUAAU